GAGGAAAGUCCGGGCUCCCCAAUGGCCAGGCUUGCUGGGUAAUGCCCAGUGCGGGUGACCGCGAGGAGAGUGCCACAGAAACACACCGCCGAUGGCCGGGGCCCUGCCCUGUGCACAGGCAAGGGUGCAAAGGUGCGGUAAGAGCGCACCAGCAGCAUCGAGAGGUGCUGGCUCGGUAAACCCCGGCCGGGAGCAAGGCCCAGGGACCAACGGUUGGCCAUGAACACCGGUCCCGCCCCAAGUGCGCCGCUCGAGGCCGCCGGUGACGGCGGUCCCAGACAGAUGAUCACCCCGGGAGGGGUUCGCCCCAUCCGGAACAGAACCCGGCUUA
RNAcentral lists this RNase P RNA (331 nucleotides) under Cyanobium sp. NIES-981. RNAcentral describes it as "RNaseP_bact_a". It matches the Rfam family "Bacterial RNase P class A", at positions 43 to 351 of the family's 367-position model. From Rfam's summary of the family: Ribonuclease P (RNase P) is a ubiquitous endoribonuclease, found in archaea, bacteria and eukarya as well as chloroplasts and mitochondria. Its best characterised activity is the generation of mature 5'-ends of tRNAs by cleaving the 5'-leader elements of precursor-tRNAs. Lineage: Bacteria; Bacillati; Cyanobacteriota; Cyanophyceae; Synechococcales; Prochlorococcaceae. The record is from RNAcentral.